Unclassified non-coding RNA from Macaca fascicularis (crab-eating macaque), 147 nucleotides. It matches the Rfam family "Metazoan signal recognition particle RNA". Rfam says of the family: The signal recognition particle (SRP) is a universally conserved ribonucleoprotein. It is involved in the co-translational targeting of proteins to membranes. The record is from Ensembl. Lineage: Eukaryota; Metazoa; Chordata; Mammalia; Primates; Cercopithecidae.
GCUGGGCAUGGUGAUGCAUGCCUAUAGUCUCAACUACUUAAGAGGCUGAGGUGGGCGAUAGCUUGAGCCCAGGAGGUCAAGGCUGCAGUGAGCCAAUAUUGUGCCACUGCACUCCAGCCUGGGCAACAAAGCGAGGGCCUGUCUCAA